GGCAUACGUAGUGCGGGUCUUUGGGCCACCUCCCAUCCGUGUCUAUUAUACCCUGUUGCUUCGGCGGGCCCGCCGCUUGUCGGCCGCCGGGGGGGCGCCUUUGCCCCCCGGGCCCGUGCCCGCCGGAGACCCCAACACGAACACUGUCUGAAAGCGUGCAGUCUGAGUUGAUUGAAUGCAAUCAGUUAAAACUUUCAACAAUGGAUCUCUUGGUUCCGGCAUCGAUGAAGAACGCAGCGAAAUGCGAUAACUAAUGUGAAUUGCAGAAUUCAGUGAAUCAUCGAGUCUUUGAACGCACAUUGCGCCCCCUGGUAUUCCGGGGGGCAUGCCUGUCCGAGCGUCAUUGCUGCCCUCAAGCCCGGCUUGUGUGUUGGGUCGCCGUCCCCCUCUCCGGGGGGACGGGCCCGAAAGGCAGCGGCGGCACCGCGUCCGAUCCUCGAGCGUAUGGGGCUUUGUCACAUGCUCUGUAGGAUUGGCCGGCGCCUGCCGACGUUUUCCAACCAUUUUUUCCAGGUUGACCUCGGAUCAGGUAGGGAUACCCGCUGAACUUAAGCAUAUCAAUAAACCGGAGGAACCCA
This 578-nucleotide ribosomal RNA is filed under the name Aspergillus tubingensis. RNAcentral describes it as "eukaryotic LSU rRNA". The stretch from base 190 to 343 matches the Rfam family "5.8S ribosomal RNA". The record is from RNAcentral. Lineage: Eukaryota; Fungi; Ascomycota; Eurotiomycetes; Eurotiales; Aspergillaceae.